RNAcentral lists this ribosomal RNA (497 nucleotides) under uncultured bacterium. RNAcentral's name for it is "partial 16S ribosomal RNA". It matches the Rfam family "Bacterial small subunit ribosomal RNA", at positions 28 to 507 of the family's 1533-position model. The record is from RNAcentral.
GAUGAACGCUGGCGGCGUGCCUAAUACAUGCAAGUCGAGCGAACAGACGAGGAGCUUGCUCCUCUGACGUUAGCGGCGGACGGGUGAGUAACACGUGGAUAACCUACCUAUGAGACUGGGAUAACUUCGGGAAACCGGAGCUAAUACCGGAUAAUAUAUUGAACCGCAUGGUUCAAUAGUGAAAGACGGUUUUGCUGUCACUUAUAGAUGGAUCCGCGCCGCAUCAGCUAGUUGGUAAGGUAACGGCUUACCAAGGCGACGAUGCGUAGCCGACCUGAGAGGGUGAUCGGCCACACUGGAACUGAGACACGGUCCAGACUCCUACGGGAGGCAGCAGUAGGGAAUCUUCCGCAAUGGGCGAAAGCCUGACGGAGCAACGCCGCGUGAGUGAUGAAGGUCUUCGGAUCGUAAAACUCUGUUAUUAGGGAAUAACAAAUGUGUAAGUAACUAUGCACGUCUUGACGGUACCUAAUCAGAAAGCCACGGCUAACUACGUG